This 493-nucleotide ribosomal RNA is filed under the name uncultured Draconibacterium sp. RNAcentral's name for it is "bacterial SSU rRNA". It matches the Rfam family "Bacterial small subunit ribosomal RNA", at positions 382 to 875 of the family's 1533-position model. The record is from RNAcentral. Lineage: Bacteria; Pseudomonadati; Bacteroidota; Bacteroidia; Marinilabiliales; Prolixibacteraceae.
GCUGAACCAGCCAUCCCGCGUGCAGGAUGACGGCCCUAUGGGUUGUAAACUGCUUUUGUACCUGAAGAAACCUGGUUACGAGUAACCAGUUGCCGGUAAGGUAUGAAUAAGCAUCGGCUAACUCCGUGCCAGCAGCCGCGGUAAUACGGAGGAUGCAAGCGUUAUCCGGAUUCAUUGGGUUUAAAGGGUGCGCAGGUGGGAAAAUAAGUCAGUGGUGAAAUACUGCCGCUUAACGGUAGAAUUGCCAUUGAUACUGUUUUUCUUGAGUAUGGUUGAGGUAGGUGGAAUGUGUUGUGUAGCGGUGAAAUGCAUAGAUAUGACACAGAACGCCGAUUGCGAAGGCAGCUUACUAAGCCAUUACUGACGCUGAGGCACGAAAGCGUGGGGAUCAAACAGGAUUAGAUACCCUGGUAGUCCACGCCGUAAACGAUGAUCACUCGCUGUUUGCGAUAUACAGCAAGCGGCUGAGCGAAAGCAUUAAGUGAUCCACCUG